CACGAACUGUGCGAACGUUAUUCGGAAUCACUGGGCUUAAAGGGUGCGUAGGCGUCUUGUAGGUCAGAUGUGAAAGCCCACGGCUCAACCGUGGAAUUGCGUUUGAAACCACAAGACUUGAGUAAGAUAGAGGUAAGCGGAACUGAUGGUGGAGCGGUGAAAUGCGUUGAUAUCAUCAGGAACACCGGUGGCGAAAGCGGCUUACUGGGUCUUUACUGACGCUGAGGCACGAAAGCUAGGGGAGCGAACGGGAUUAGAUACCCCCGUA
RNAcentral lists this ribosomal RNA (268 nucleotides) under uncultured prokaryote. RNAcentral describes it as "partial 16S ribosomal RNA". It matches the Rfam family "Bacterial small subunit ribosomal RNA", at positions 524 to 792 of the family's 1533-position model. The record is from RNAcentral.